GUGCCAAAUUAUCUGCUUUUACA
RNAcentral lists this small nuclear RNA (23 nucleotides) under Arabidopsis thaliana (thale cress). RNAcentral describes it as "snRNA_00085". The record is from RNAcentral. Lineage: Eukaryota; Viridiplantae; Streptophyta; Magnoliopsida; Brassicales; Brassicaceae.